This 498-nucleotide ribosomal RNA is filed under the name Sporosarcina sp. CL2.36. RNAcentral's name for it is "bacterial SSU rRNA". It matches the Rfam family "Bacterial small subunit ribosomal RNA", at positions 18 to 495 of the family's 1533-position model. The record is from RNAcentral. Lineage: Bacteria; Bacillati; Bacillota; Bacilli; Caryophanales; Caryophanaceae.
CCCUGCUCAGGACGAACGCUGGCGGCGUGCCUAAUACAUGCAAGUCGAGCGGAAUGAUGAAGAAGCUUGCUUCUUCUGAUUUUAGCGGCGGACGGGUGAGUAACACGUGGGCAACCUACCUUGUAGAUUGGGAUAACUCCGGGAAACCGGGGCUAAUACCGAAUAAUCCAUUUUGCUUCAUGGCAAGAUGUUGAAAGGCGGCUUCGGCUGUCACUACGAGAUGGGCCCGCGGCGUAUUAGCUAGUUGGUAGGGUAAUGGCCUACCAAGGCGACGAUACGUAGCCGACCUGAGAGGGUGAUCGGCCACACUGGGACUGAGACACGGCCCAGACUCCUACGGGAGGCAGCAGUAGGGAAUCUUCCACAAUGGACGAAAGUCUGAUGGAGCAACGCCGCGUGAGUGAAGAAGGUUUUCGGAUCGUAAAACUCUGUUGUAAGGGAAGAACACGUACGAGAGUAACUGCUCGUACCUUGACGGUACCUUAUUAGAAAGCCACG